RNAcentral lists this ribosomal RNA (484 nucleotides) under uncultured bacterium. RNAcentral's name for it is "partial 16S ribosomal RNA". It matches the Rfam family "Bacterial small subunit ribosomal RNA", at positions 30 to 507 of the family's 1533-position model. The record is from RNAcentral.
AUUGAACGCUGGCGGCAGGCCUAACACAUGCAAGUCGAGCGGAUGAAGGGAGCUUGCUCCUGGAUUCAGCGGCGGACGGGUGAGUAAUGCCUAGGAAUCUGCCUGGUAGUGGGGGAUAACGUCCGGAAACGGGCGCUAAUACCGCAUACGUCCUGAGGGAGAAAGUGGGGGAUCUUCGGACCUCACGCUAUCAGAUGAGCCUAGGUCGGAUUAGCUAGUUGGUGGGGUAAAGGCCUACCAAGGCGACGAUCCGUAACUGGUCUGAGAGGAUGAUCAGUCAGCCUGGAACUGAGCCAGGCCCGAGCCCCCGCGGGGGGGAGGCAGGGGGUAUUAUGGGACAGAGGGGGAAGGCUGAACCCAGCCGGGCGGGGGGUGGAAAGAGGUUGUUGGAUUUGUAAACCAUUUUAGGGGGGGGGAAAGGGAAGUAAUUUAUUCCCUUGCUGUUUUGAGUUCCCCAAAAAAAAAACCCCCGCCUCCUUCCGUC